This is a long non-coding RNA of Columba livia (rock pigeon), 19419 nucleotides long. RefSeq lists it as uncharacterized. The record is from RefSeq and is a predicted model, not a curated record. The transcript has 2 exons. NCBI's taxonomy places the organism in Eukaryota, Metazoa, Chordata, Aves, Columbiformes, Columbidae.
CAGCAGCGUGGGAGGGGGGCGGGGGCAGGCUGGGGGGACCCAAAUCUAUAGGAAUUACGUUAUUUGGCUCGGUCUGGCUCACCACGGGGGGGUCCUCCCCACCUAAAUCUUCAGGCAAGGGGGGAUAGGAAAAAAAAUGUCCAUUUUUUUCUUCCGUGACUGAUAGCGGCGGGGCAGAGGGUUGAACUGUGAUUAAUGGCGGUGACGCAGACGGCGGAACCGCGGUUGAUGAUGGUAGAGCAGAGGUUUGAGCCGUGAUUGAUGACGGCGGAGCAGUCGGUUGAACGCACUGCUCUGACCGGUGCUCCGGGGGCCCCUCCCGAGAUCGUAUAUAACCCAACGCUGUUUUUUCAUGGGAGUCUUUCAUAGCUUUUAUCUGAUCUCGGGGCCACACAUACGUACGCUCCUCCUCUAUUCCUUUUAACUUUCCAAGAAAGUGUCGCGGAUCCUUAUCCGUGUCAGAUAAUAUGGACUUGGGCGGUUUUGACGAAUCUUUAGUAACAGGGGGGGUCGGAGUAGUACUUAAUCUUGCCUUUUCCUCCGAAUCUGGCCCAGGAGGGCCAGGAAGACCAUCCCCCUCCGCCACCUCUGCCUUAUCCUGUUGCUGUUUUAACUCUUUCAGAGUAUCUAAUAACAAGCGCCAGGUUGUUAACAGUUCAGUUGCUUCCUUGGACCCUUGGGUAGCACUGUCAAACAGUUUAUCUCCCAAGUCCAUCCAUUGUGACACACUAAAUGCUGUCACAGGAUUAACCUCUAAACCUUGUGCUUUGCCCCAUAGUAACAUUUUUCUUAAAGUCAGUUCCGGAAGGCUAACACCCCGCUUCUUCAGAAGCAGCUUCCAUGUGGAUAAUAUGUGGAGACGGAGCCCGGUACAGCUGAUAAGAGCAGCCGAGGAGAGCUGCCGAAGAUCCGGAUCGUUGAAAAGACACCUCGCUAAGGAGUAGGGCGAGAAGAGCAGGACAAAAUAAAUCCCUACAAGAGAUCAUUAGAUCAUUACAGACAGUUUUACAGCUGGAACGGUUUGAACGUCAACAAGCUGAGACAGAGUUAACUGAUACCACACAGGUCACAGUAAACUUGCUGAAGUCUGCAAGCUGCUUUCCUCAUUAACCUGUUUUCUUUGUGGGUAUCGGUUUAAGCAUGUUGCAAUUUUGGUAGGUCUUUGUUAUAUGGUACGAUAAGUUCACAGUCUGUUAAAUUAUGAGAAUCCGUUGACUCAAAAAGUGCGUUUUGUGAUAAUACAGAAGAUCAUAAGUAAUUUAGUUCUUUACUGCGUGAAUGUGAUGGUAAAAUUUUGUGUGUAGUAGCUGUUAUUUUUUUUUUCUUUUCUCUAGCAUGCUACCUUUAUUCCAGCAUUCAGACUUGCGCAACUCUGUGACAGGCUGUGUCUCAUCUCGGUGUGGUGGAUUUGGCUUUUCCAUAUGCACACCAUGUAAAGAAUCCUGGUUUUGGAAUAACAGCUGUAGCGCACCAGAUGAGACACUAAAAAAAAAACAAAAACAAAACAAAACAAAACAAAAAAAAGGCCUUGCCCAGUCCAGCUCGCUGUGGUGGCCGAUGGGGCUCCAGCGCGCACUGACCUAUUUUGUCAGGGAGACCCAGAGGUACCUCCACCUGGCUGAGCAGUAAACGGUUCAAAGGUGCAAUACAAAAAUUGAGAUAUUGUCUUAAAUUGGUGUAACUGUGAUCCAUCUGCUUAUUUGAACUUGGUAUAUGGUUUUCACAUCUGAGCUCAGUAUUUUAGUUUGCAUAUUCAUAUUUGGUACCAAAAGAAUCUUGUUUGGGGAGAUAAUUACAAAAUGGGAACCGGUUCCACUGCUAAAAUUUCACCUUGCCUCCCCUUAGGAUGCAUCCUUACACAUUAGAGUAAUUGCUUAUAUUGUUAGAAAAGCAUUUAAAUUGUUAAAAUGCUAUGACAGCUGUGAAUUUGGAAGAGGUUGUAUUUAAAAAUUGCUAGAAUAUUAACUGAUUUGGAUCUAGGAAAAUAGACUAAUGGAUUUAUAUACUGUUUUUUGACAUCUCUAAAUUGUAAAAGGUAAAUGGAGCUAAGGAAUGUAACUAUUUCUGAGCUACUUGAAAUUGCAUAUAAAGUGUAUUAUGGCUGGAAUGAAACGGGAAAACUAAAGAGCAAAAUAUCCCAGGCCUCUGUGUAGGUUGUAACUGAGAAGUUUCCCAGAGCCUCCUACUUCAUACCAGCCAGUAUGCCAGCUGCGUGACCUUGGUUAUAUCUAAAACUGCAGCAGGAAGAGAAAGAAAAAACAACUGGAAUAAACUGGCUGCCUGCCUUUAAAGCAGUGAAAGGGGGGUUCUCUCUUCCCCCCCCACUGCAGCGAUGUAAUACUGAAUGGAGCAGUCCGAGGGUGAAGUUUAAAGGCAUCCUUAGCAGACCCAUAGUUCUAAUGAAACUGGAAAAUUAAACCAAAAAUUUAAUAGACUUAUUCUGUGGUAAUUAGUUGUAAGUGACUUCUUAGUAAAUUCACCAUGCUAGUUUUUGAGGUCAUGAGAGAGAACGAAAGAAAAGCCGUUUUUUGAGACCAAUGGAAUGCCAAAUUUGGAACAAAGUUUAAAUACAUGAAUUCUUAUAGUUGUUAGAAACGCCUAUACCUCUCCUAGGUUAAGAUUUGUUAAGUAAAUUGUAAGCUCAAAUAACAUUUUCUGAGAAUUCUGUUUAGUUGCAUGUCCUACAAGAAGCUGCUUGGAUGGCGCAGAUCUGCUUGCUGCAAGUGAGAAAUCUCCAAGGAAAUUUCAAAUGCUGUAUUUCCACUAGUAUUAACAGCCAAUGUUUCGAUAAAGCAAAUACUACACUGAUUGAUCUGAAACAGGACUUCGAUCUGGUAAGGGAAAACAAUAUCCAAUAAAUAUGACAGCCAAAAUGGAGUUGGAAACUUUGAGGAAUAAAUUUAUGAUAACCUUCCAGGUUGACUGCAUUCGAUUGGACUUGCAGAUUUGUCUAUGAAACAACCUGUGGCUAUUGUGGGACAGUAUGAUGAGAAUGCUAACAGACUGAUAUACCAAUUGUUACUCUGAUCAAGAAAUGCAGGGAAUGAAUUUAAGUCUCAUUAGGCCAUGAUCAUUUUGUCAUAUAUGUACCAUUUGUGAAAUUUAAUUUUGAUUUUUUUAUUUGCAAUCUAUGUCCUUGUAAAUUGCACUAGCUGAUUGUCUGAACAGCACAGCUUUUGGCAUGCCUAAAUGUAAAAUCUAAAUUGCUGCAGAACCUGCAAGUCUUUAACAUCAGGUCACCGACCAUACUUGUAUCUGGUCUGAUCCUACAUACUUGCACAGUAUUUGUUGAUAUUUCUGGGAAGUCUCAUGAAGCUGUAGUGGUCUGACGUGAAGAUAACAAUUGGCAUCAUUCUGUAAACAUUACUGAAGGUUCAACCCAAUUAGCAGAACUUGGCACAGCUUUACGUUACUUAGAGCUUUUUAAGGAGGAACCUCUAAAUUUGAUUUGUGAUUUUGAGUACGUAGUCAAGAUCCAAUGCACGUAUCUGAACUACUUUUGGUUUUUGUUUUUUUUUUUUAAACAAAAAGGGGGGAGAAGUAGGGAAAACACCACAAAACCAAUUGUCAAAAGCAUAGUAUGUGAUGAAUCACUUAUAUCUAAGUGGUGCAACCCAAAUUUGCCCUGUGAUGAAACACUUUGCAAGUAUGACCCAAAAACAUGCUAAAUCAGAAAGAACCUACGUUAGUUAUGGUCAAAUCACUAGUUAAUGGUCAAUGGAAAAGGCCACAUCAAUUGAUAACCUGGGAAAAGGUUAUACUUGUGUCAUUACAGGCCAAGGAUCAAAGUGGAUUCCCACAAAAUGGGUCAAGCCAUGGCUGAAUAAAGACAAUAAAGAUUUAACGGAUGCAGAUGGACAGGAGGGAGAUAAGUUGUGAGGACUGUUUCAGAUGUAAACCGUUGAUCCUAAUUCAGUGUUAUAGAUGCUCACAGACCUGGUGGUCUAGAAGCCUAUUAGUAAGCAGGUGGUGUACCUUCUGUGGAGAAUGGCAAUUUGAACAAUCAGCAGGAGAGCCAAAAGGGCGAUAUUACACUUAGACAGUCAAUGCAAAGAUGAGGUAAAAUUAUGAGACAUUCCUACCGUAGUACCUACUGCACUCCUUCUCCCUAAUCUAGCAGCUGGUAAAGCUUUAGGAGACAUAUCAAAGUUAAGCUAUUUGUCUUCUGACCAGGCUAAUCUAACUUCUGAGAUACUAACUCAAUUAAUAGUAGAUGUUGAUGGUAUUAGGCAUGUUACACUUCAAAAUCGUGUUGCUAUAGAUUUUUGUUGUUAUUGUAAGGACAUGGUUGUGAUGAAUUUAAGAGCAAGAUGUUGUAUUAACUUGUUUAAUCAUUCUGGAUCUAUUCAUAGUACUUUAGACAAACUAAAAUAGCACGUUAAUAAGACUGUCAUAGUAGAAUUAAGGUUUGACAAAUGGUUUAAAAGCUUGGAAAUAUGUGGGUAGGUGUUUCAUCUUAUGAAGUAAGGCUUAGCUACAUCAUAUGUAACUGUAAUCAUUGUUGUUAAUCAUAUGUUGUAUGCUGCAGUGUAUUUCAAAGAUGAUUCAGCAUGCUGUAAACAAGGCCUGGCUGGUUCAAAAACAAAAAGGGAGAAUUGUGGGAGAUUUGAGGGAUUUUCUUGAGGUUGUUGUGUGGAUGGGUUCUAUUAGAUGGAGAUUUAGUUCUGAACUAGCCAGGCUCAAAUGAAUUUCAAAGCCAGCUCGAAAGCUGAAAGCAGGACCUGCUGUGGGAGUGAGGCAGUUCUUCAAUAACAGGGCCUCAACAAGAUGUAAAUCAACAGACCUAUUAGCAAUGAGAUUCGGGUGCAUGGACAGCUCGUGAACAUAGACAAUAUCCAAUCCACUAAUGCAUGCUUGGAGCGUGGACGUGUGAUCAGGAAAUAACUGCAUAUAUAAGGAGGCUUGUUUAUGUAAUAAAUGGCUUUGCUUGAAUUCAUAUUGGAUUGUAUGGAGUCCAUGAGUUUUUGCCCUCGCACGGCUGCUCCAUCCCAGAUAACUGCACAACCUUUGCCUACACAAUCUAUGCAUAUCAACCUAUUAACAACCACACUUAGUGCUAUUCCACCAGCCACGACUCAACACCUCCAGGCAGAGCAGUUCCAAGCCAAACGGGCACGUGCACACAGUCCCUUAAAAUGGAUGGCUAGAGAGCAGAGCUGCCAACGCAGCCCAGAACGACACCAUAAAACACAGUCAACUGGAAAAGUCUGAGGCGCAAGACCCAUCCACGCUUUCGGCUCAUUACGCAAGGAAACCAGCACCCAAUUGGCCAUAGGCCAAUCGGGACUGGCAUUGCGGACCCCAGGAAGACAACUGAGAAGACUGCCCUGCCCCUUGAGCACAAUGAGAUGCCAGGAUCGUCUAACAGGUGCAAGGCAGGCUUCCCAAACUACUCAACAAUGCAGACACACAGGCCGGAGCUGCCCUGCCCAGCACAACCUGGCAUCAUGCUGAAAUGUUCCCUGGCCCGUUUACCUGCCUAAAGGGGACUGUUCCAGGAUGGCUCUCUCCCCAUAUCAACUUUUGUUGGAGCGAUAAAGGACUCAGCAAACAAUUCGAUUCAAUGUGAAUUACGCUAAAGCCAUUUAUUACAGAAACAAGUCUCCUUAUAUACGCAACUAUAUUCUAAUCACACGUCCACGCUCCAAGCAUGGAUUCGCUAAAUGAGUAUCAUGGGCUGUCCAUGCACUGGAGUCUCACUGAUGAUACAUCCGAUGAUUCACGCCAUGCCAGGACCCCGGUGAUUGUGGAACGCCCCUCUUUCUCACAGCAGAUUCUGCUCUCAGCUUCUCUAAGAGGCCUUGAGAUUCCUUUGAGCCUGAUUAAUUCAGCAACAAAUCUUUAUCUAUCAAAACCCCUCCACAAACUUUCAAUACAUUCAUCAGUGAUUUGGAUGAGGGAAUAGAGUGUACUAUCAGCAGGUUUGCUGAUGACACAAAGCUGGGAGGAGUGGCUGAUAUGCCAGAAGGCUGUGCUGCCAUCCAGCAAGACCUGGACAGGCUGGAGAGUUGAGCAGGGAAAAAUUUAAUGAAAUAUAACAAGGGCAAGUGUAGAGUCUUGCAUCUGGGCAGGAACAACCCCAGGUUCCAGUAUAAGUUGGGGAAUGACCUAUUAGAGAGCAGUAUAGGGAAAAGGGACCUGGAGGCCCUGGUGGACAGCAGGAUGACCAUGAGCCAGCACUGUGCCCUUGUGGCCAGGAAGGCCAAUGGCAUCCUGGGGUGUAUUAGAAGGGGUGUGGUUAGCAGGUCAAGAGAGAUUCUCCUUCCCCUCUACUCUGCCCUGGUGAGACCACAUCUGGAAUAUUGUAUCCAGUUCUGGGCCCCUCAGUUCAAGAAGGACAGGGAACUGCUGGAGAGAGUCCAGCACAGGGCAACAAAGAUGAUCAAGGGAGUGGAGCAUCUCCCUUAUGAGGAAAGGCUGAGGGAGCUGGGUCUCUUUAGCUUGGAGAAGAGGAGACUGAGGGGUGACCUCAUUAAUGUUUACAGAUAUAUGAAGGGUGAGUGUCACGAGGAUGGAGCCAGGCUCUUCUCGGUGACAACCAACAGUAGGACAAGGGGUAAUGGGUACAAACUGGAACACAAAAGGUUCCACUUAAAUUUGAGAAGAAACUUCCUCUCAGUGAGGGUGACAGAACACUGGAACAGGCUGCCCAGGGAGGUUGUGGAGUCUCCUACACUGGAGGCAUUCAAAACCUGCCUGGACGCCUUCCUGUGUAACCUCAUCUAGGUGUUCCUGCUCAGGCAGGGUGAUUGUACUAGAUGAUCUUUCGAGGUCUCUUCCAAUUCCUAACAUUCUGUGAUUCAUUAUACCUGAGAUUCCUGCUUUGUUGUGAGAAAGAGCAGAGCAUACCAGGAGGCUGCGUCUGCUCUGAACCUUGAGAUAUAGGUGAAUGUAGCAGGCCCAGUGAUCAUCUACCACGGCCGAAUUCUGCAGUGCCUGCAUCUCCACUUGUGUCACCUCUGCCGGGGAGCUUAGUUGCUGUUGUGGAGAUCCCCCGGUAGCGAGGUAACUAAAUAAAUUUGCUCUUUGCAAUUGCAUAUAUGGCCUUUGGCUCUUCUUGCGACCUGCCUGCGCCUGUGCUCAGAACCUUGUUGAACCUCAUGACGUUUGCACAGGCUCCACCUCUCAAGCCUGUCGAGGUCCCUCUGGAUGGCAUUCCUUCCCUUCAGUGUGUCGACCACACCACAUAUCUUGGUGUCGUCAGCAACCUUGCUAAGGGUGCACUCAAUCCCACUGUCCAUGUCACCAACAAAGAUGUUAGACAGCACCGGUCCCAUUGCUGACCCCUGAGGAACACCACUCAUUACUGGUCUCCACUUGGACGUCGAGCCGUUGACCGCAACUUGGAGUGUGACCAUCCAGCCAAUUCCUUAUCCACUGAGUGUUCCAUCUAUCAAAUCCACAACUCUCCAGUUUAGAGACAAUGAUGUCAUGUGGGACAGUAUCCAGGUAGAAGUCCAGGUAGAAGAUGUCAGUUGCUCUUCCCUUAUCCACCAACGCUGUAACCCUGUCAUAGAAGGCCACCAAAUUUGUCGAGCACGAUUUGCCCUUAGUGAAGCCAUAUUGGCUGUCACCAAUCACCUCCUUAUUUGACAUGUGCCUUAGCAUAGUUUCCAGGAGGAUGUGCUUCAUGAUCUUUCUGGGCAUAGCAGUGAGAUUGACUGGUCUGUAGUUCUCUGGGUCUUCCUUUUUUCCCUUUUUAAAAAUGGGGGUUAUGUUUCCCCUUUUCCAGUCAGUGGGAACUUCACCGGACUGUCAUGAAUUCUCAGAUAUGAUGGAUAGUGGCUUAGCAACUUCAUCUACCAGUUCCCUCAGGACCCAUGGAUGCAUCUCAUCAGGUCCCAUGGACUUGUGCACCUUCAGGUUCCUUAGAUGGUCUCGAACCUGAUCUUUUCCUACAAUGGGUGAUUCUUCGUUCUCCCAGUCCCUGCCUUUGACUUCUGCAACUUGGGCGGUGUGGCCAGAGCACCUCCUGGUGAAGACUGAGGCAAAAAAGUCAUUGAGUACAUCAGCCUUCUCCAUAUCCUGGGUAACCAGAUCUCCCAUUGUCUUCUGGAGAGGGCCCAGAUUUUUCUCUCAUCUUCCUUUUAUCACUGACAGACCUAUAGAAGCUUUUCUUGUUGCCCUUGAUUGACCCUGGCCGGAUUUAAUUCUAUCAGGGCUUUAGCUAUCCUAACCCGAUCCCUGGCUGCUCAGACAAUUUCUUUGUAUUCCUCUCAGGCUACCUGUCCUUUCACCCACCCUCUGUAGGCUUCCUUUUUGUGUUUGAGUUUGUCCGGGAGCUCCUUGUUAAUCUGUGCAGGCCUCCUGGUGUUUCUGCCAUGGAGCAAAUCAUACUGAGUGCCACCACGUGGCACAGACAAGACAACAAAGUGAUCACGCCCAGUCAGCAUGGGUUUAUGAAAGGCAGGUCCUGCUUGACCAACCUCAUCAGCUUCUAUGACAAGGUGACCCGCUUAGUGGGUGAAGGAAAGGCUGUGGAUGUUGUGUACUUAGAAUUCAGUAAAGCCUUUGACACCGUAUCCCACAGCAUUCUCCUGGAGAAGCUGGCAGCUCAUGGCCUGGACGGGCAUACUCUUUGCUGGGUAAUGAACUGGCUGGAUGGCCGAGCCCGAAGAACGGAGUCAGAUCCAGUUGGUGGCUGGUCACGAGUGGUGUUCCCCGGGGCUCAGUAUUGGGGCCAGUUCUGUUUAAUCUCUUUAUCAAUGAUCUGGAUGAGGGGAUUGAGUGGACCCUUAGUAAGUUUGCAGAUGACACCAAAUUGGGUGGGAGUGGUGAUCUGCUGGAGGGUUAGAAGGCUAUAUAGAGGGAUCUGGACAGGCUGGAUCGUUGGGCUGAGGCCAAUCGGAUGCGGUUCAACAAGGCCAAGUGCUGGGUCCUGCACUUGGGUCACAACAACCCCAGGCAGCGCUACAGGCCUGGGGAAGAGUGGCUGGAAAGCUGCCUGGAAGAAAAGGAUCUGGGGUUGUUGAUUGACAGCCGGCUGAAUAUGAGCCAGCAGUGUGCCCAGGUAGCCAAAAAGGCCAGCAGCAUCCUGGCUUGUAUCAUGAACAGUGUGGCCAGCAGGACUAGGGAAGCGAUCGCGCCACUGUACUAGGCGUUGGUGUGGCCCCACCUUGAACACUGUGUUCAGUUUUGGGCCCCUCAUCAUAAGAAAGACAUUGAGGUACUAGAGAGAGUGCAGAGGAGGGCGACGAAGUUGGUGAGGGGCCUGGAGCACAAGUCUUAUGAGGAGAGGUUGAGGGAACUGGGGCUGUUUAGCCUGGAGAAAAGGAGGCUGAGGGGAGACCUUAUCACUGUCUGCAACUAUCUGAAAGGAGUUUGUAGCAUGGAGGGUGUUGAUCUCUUGUCCCAAGUAGCAAGUGAUAGGACAAGAGGAAAUGGCCUCAAGUUGCGCCAGGGAAGGUUCAGAUUGGAUAUGUGUACACAUACGCAGGCACGUCACAAGAAGAGCCAGAGGCCUCGAAUGAAUUGCAAAGAGAAAGUUUUAUUUUAGUUACUUCUCUACUGGGGGAUCUCCGAAGUUGCACCUAAGCUCCCAGGCAGAGGUGACACAAGCGGGGACACAGGCGCUGGUAAGUUCAGCCCUGCUGGAAGAUCACUGGGCCUGCUGAGCUCACCUGUAUCUCAAGGCUUCAGGCAGGCACAGCCUCCCAUUCUUUCUCAAAACAAAGCAAGAAUCUCAGACAUAGUGAUAAGGUGCCUAGAGUUUCUCACAGGCCUAUGUUAUCUAACACAGAGGUUCUACACAUCAAGCACAUAAGGUCAGUAAAACAAUUAGUGUGAUCUAUGUGUUUUUUCUACUGACAGGUGCAAGUCACUUGAGCAUAUUUACAUUUAACUAACCUCCUCGCCAAUCCUGCGCUACAUUCCCAUACAGGAUACUAGGAAAAAAUUCUUCAUGGAACGGGUUGUGAAGCAGUGGAACAGGCUGCCCGGGGAAGUGGUGGAGUCACCAUCCAUGGAGGUGUUUAAAAGGCAUUUAGACGAGGUUCUUAGGGACAUGGUUUAGUGUUAGAGCUAGGUUAUGGUUGGACUCGAUGAUCCUGAGGGUCUCUUCCAACCAAAAUGAUUCUAUGAUAGGAAAAGGGGUAAUGGCUUUAAACUGAAAGAGGGUAAAUUUAAAUUAGAUAUAAGGAAGAAAUUAUUCACCAUGAGGGUGGUGAGGCACUGGAACAGGCUGCCUGUAGAAGUUGUGGAUGCCCUGUCACUGGAAGUGUUCAAGGCCAGGUUGGAUAGGACUUUGAGCAACCUGAUCUAGUGGAAGGUGUCCCUGCCUGGAACUGGAAGAUCUUUAAGGUCCCUUUUUCUGCUAGAUCCCCAGUAGCAGAAAAAGCGUAAGGCUUUUCAUCCAUUUUGAGCUUUGUUUUCCUUAUGACAGGGUCAUAGACCAGGCCCAUUGCUGGAGAGUCAAUGGCUGAAGCUUUGUUUUGAGGGUUAAUAAAAUGGUUCAUACAUUCCAUCAACAUGGAGAGGGACAGAUAAUAGCCUUUCCCCGAAGUAUACUACCAUGUCUUACCCUGCAGCGCUCUUUCAAAGAUGGUGUCUUCCCUGAUGUUAUUCCAGCUGUGCGGAUACUGUAUUUUCUGCCAGCCCCACCUCCCACUUCCUCAAGAACUCCAGGGACGUCACCAGCUGUACAGUAAAGUUCAAGCUGGUGUUUUGUGGGAAGAUUCUGGCACUGGCAUUGCUGAAUAGUGUCAUGUAGAAACUGCCAUCCUUCUCCCCCCACCCCCCCUGAUGUCCUGAACUUGGAAGGCUUCUAUCCAGCUGCUAAAUUUCUGGGGCUAGCAACCCCACAUCAGCAGCAGCUGUUUCUUUCUGCCUUUCCCUUUUGCAGCAAUUGUCUUCUCAAUUUUGUAGAUUCUGUCCUCAUCGGGAUUCGCAGAUUCACUUUUGAAGUUCUUCAGGGUAAAAUGUCCCCUCAGUUGCUUCACGACCAUAGCCUAUUAAGUGGUACACAGGUCUCUGUCCCCUUCUCACAAUUUCAGCUGCUAUGAAAAUUCCAUCUGUGAAAGUCUGCUCAUAACUUUUCUCAAAUUUCUCUUUUGUUCUAGACACCCUGAUGUGGUCUCCCUUUUUGAGCAGAGGCGCGAGUUCUUUAAUUUUAAACACAGCCACGUAUAAGGUUUUCCAAACCCUUGCAGAGUUUAAAGGGUUCAUGUCCACAGUCCUGGCUCUGACAGUUCUGUGGAAGCUAUGGUUAUAGCUCUUUAUAGACUCCAACAACACACCAAUGUAGUGAAAAUUGUUGCAUGCUGUAAAAUAUCUCCACACCUUGGUUUUGAGCAUCCUGCUAAAACACUCUAUGACAGAGGCCUUUACUUCAUUAUUAGCAACAAAACAGUGAACAUAGCUUUAACAGCUUGUUUAAAGGCUGGUUUAAAAAUUCUUUUCCCUUUUAACAGAAGUGGCUGCGACGAUUAGAAACGACGCACACCAGGACACAGACAGAAAUUCACGCAGAGGCAGAGAUCUUGUUCAGGAAGGAGUGCAGAGCCUGGCCAAGCAGAGAGCUGACCUAGGCCUAGGCUACCUUCUUUAUUCACCAUUGACAAUUUAUAGGAUUUACAGGACUAAGAUGUUUACAAAAGGUGUUUUUCCACUAAUUGUUAUUAAAAACACACUAAACUCAUGUGAAGUUUGUCUCACUUGUUUUUCCACUUAUUCACAGACCAGGCCCAAGGACAUUCACACAUCCCAUGCACUUGGGGGCGGUUAUCGGGCCCAAGAUACCAUUCUCACAAGUCUGGGCUAUAACUUUUUACAGUUAUGAGAAACGUACUUCAAAGUAAUCUGUCCAAGGCCCUUUAUAUGUUAUUAUGUUAGUAUUAUGUCUUCAACCGUCCAAAUGGUCAUGUUAGUAUUGAUCUUCCUUUAUCAUCCAGAUGGCUGGAACCGCACAUCUUGCUUUCCCACAUUUUACUUUCCAACAAGUGGCAGCGUGGACAUGCGUACAUAGUUGUUUCUCUCAUAUUCUCACUCCUCUCUCUCACAGCUGCUGUGCAGCAUUUUUUUUACCCUUUCUUAAAUAUGUUAUCACAGAGGCGCUACCAAUGUCGCUGAUUGGCUCAGCUUUGGCCAGCGGCAGGUCCGUCUUGGAGCCGGCUGAAACUGGCUCUGUCUGCCUUCUCACAGAAGCCACCCCUGCAGCGCCCCCACCCCCUCACUACCAAAACCUUGCCACGUAAACCAAAUACAACAAGAUAUAAGGAGAGUGGAGGGGAAUAUGGAGUGGCAGGUGUGUCUUCCUCUGUAGGGCUGGAAGGGGGUCAGGGUCUGGUCUGGGGCCAAAAACAUCCCCAUCCCAGUUAUCGCAGAACCACAGAAUGUUAGGGAUUGGAAGGGACCUUGAAAGAUGAUCUAGUCCAAUCUCCCCGCCGGAGCAGGAACACCUAGAUGAGGUUACACAGGAAGGCGUCCAGGCGGGUUUUGAAUGUCUCCAGAGGAGACUCCACAACCUCCCUGGGCAGCCUGUUCCAGUGCUCUGUCACCCUCACUGUGAAGAAGUUUGUGGGAAACUGCAGCAGGUCUGUGGAAUCCUUGAUAGAAAAUAUGGCAGUAGAGAUCAGCCUUGAAGACAUUAAGAUUUACCCUUGAGAAGGAUGGGAGUAAAGGAGUAUCCAGAGGUAUGGAGUUGUACCCGUGAGAGAGGAGAGAUGUACCCGUGAGAGAGAAGGGGAUAGAAGAAUAACAUGGAUGAUAGCAAAAUUAACCAAUGAGAUGUUAGUGCUGUAACUUGUAACCAAUAGUGAAAAGACACAUGAACUGGUAGAAUUGUAUAAAAAUGCACUUGUAGCAAUAAAUGGCACCUAUUACCUGUCACUUUCAUCUUGAAAGAACUUGGUCCAUGUCGUUUGUCCGUCUCAACCGCGACAUCUGGUGACCCCGACGUGAUCCUGCCUGAAGAGGAUCUCGCAUGACAAGGUGACAGCGUGAAGCUGUGAACAGCCGAAGAAGAGCUGUGGAGACGGAGCCCGGUACAGCUGAUAAGAGCAGCCGAGGAGAGCUGCCGAAGAUCUGGAUCGUUGAAAAGACACCUCGCUAAGGAGGAGGUGAGCUACCGGGAACAUGGGGGGAAACUUAUCUAAAGAAGAGGGUACUAUAUUAUCCACAUGGAAGCUGCUUCUGAAGAAGCGGGGUGUUAGCCUUCCGGAACUGACUUUAAGAAAAAUGUUACUGUCGGGGAUUGGCUCAAGGAGCACAGACAUGAGUCCACCAAGCAACUGUACGAGCAGAGCCCAUUUUAGUUGACAUAAGUAGGCCUUAGUUAGCUUGUCUAUUAGGCCGUGGGAAAGGGGGGAACGGAAAAGUACUAACUAAGGCAGGGUCAGGAUAUUUUUGAAGAGAUAAGAGUCAGAAGAAUGUGGGAUGCGCAUAGCUAGCUAAACCCAAGUAGGUGGAGUAAGUAAAUGUGCUUAGCCUAUUAGAUAGAGACAAGUAUGCAUAAUUAUGGUAUUUGGUAUAAAUGCACGCUAUCUCGGGCAAUAAAGUUGAAGUAUGCUUUAUCACUCAUAUUGAGUCGGCUGCAUUUCUUCCUCCGUCUGCUCGGGUCUGGAACUCUGAUGGGACUUUUCUCUGCAAUUGGCGCCCGAACCGGGGAUCCGAAGCGGCGGAUAGAAGCAAAAGGCGCCGGGAGAGCAGCGACCGGCGGGCAAGAGCGACCGAACACUGUGCUGCGGUGUGUCGACUCCGAAGCCUGAACCGACUGAAGUUCGCCAGUGCUGGGCUACAGGAAACAAGGGCUGCAAGAGGUCUCUUAAUUUACCAAGAGGUACCGUACUAUAAUGAUGAAUAACGGGGAAAUAGAUUAAAAAUGAUGAAUAACGGAGAGAUAGAUAACAGAGAAACGGAUUAAAAGUGAUAGAUAAUAGAGAAACGGAUUAAAAGUGAUAGAUAACAGAGAAACGGGUUAAAAGUGAUAAAUAACAGAGAAACGGAUUAAAAGUGAUGAAUAACGGAGAAACGGGUUAAAAUGAUGAAUAACAGAGAAAUGGAUUUAGAAGUAGCCCUAGAUUUAUUACAAAGCUUUUUAGAAAAGCGAGGUGUUGAUCAUAGUUACGUUAAACAGCUAGCUGGUCUAGUAACAUUGGGAAAAACUAAAGGCUGUUUUCAGGAUCCUGAUUUAUUGUUUGAUGAAGGAGAGUGGAGGAAAUUGGGGGAUGUGUUGUGGGAUAUGGUCAUAGACGAGGAUAAAACAGCUAAGAAACUGAUGAAACCGUGGAGGGAAGUAAUUAAUAAUAUUAAGCGUCAUAAAAUGGAAAAGAAUUUAGCCGCGGUAGCUUCACAGAAACUCGGCAAAAUGGAGCCUUCCGCUCCGCCGAUGGAAACGGGCAUAUCUGCGUUAUCAGCGAAGAACCUUAAAAGACUAUUAACUUGGUGCAGAGGCAAUAGGUAUCCUGCUGACCUGUCAGGAGUUUUUCAAAUAGAGACUUGGAAAAAGAUGGGAACUGUGUUGUGGAAGGCAAUUAGUCACCGCGAAAGAUAUAUUCUCGGCCUUGUAACCAUCUGGAAACUGAUAAAUACUACAGUGAAGCAAUUAAAACCUGAAAAGACUGUUACGAGCAUUAGUGACUCAAAACUUGAACUUUGGGACAGUAUAGAGCAGAAAUUAUGGGAUAAAGUCAGCAAUGGACAUACAGAAGCUAAAUCAUUAGUAACUACAUGGAAGCUUGAACGGUCUGCUGCUGCCGGAAUUUUUGCAGCGUUGCAGCCUGAUAAGUAUCCUGAAAGUUGCGGUGAAGUUCACCCGGUUUGUGUCUGCGAUACCCUCCCUAUUCCAUCCCCUGCUGUGCUUUCAGCAUCCCCGAUGGUUCAGCAGUCUGGGGCAGGGGGAGGAACAAUGCCAAACGGUUAGCCUCCUGUACCAUCAUCUAACCCUGGUGAGAACAGCAAGUCCAGAGGAUUGGUGUCAGACAAGUUACUCAAAGAACCUGUGAAAGCUGAGAAUGCUAAAGUCGUAAACAAGUGUACUAUCAGUUCCUUUUACCAAUUUUACCAAUCUGCUUUUCCUGCAUUUUAACCCUCUAACUUCCACGAGAGAACAGAAGAAGUCACUGAAAAUAGAACUGGACAACAGAACUGUGUGACAGAUUAGAUCAGCUAAUAGCAAGUGAAUCUGACAGUCAGCAAUGUGGUCAUGAUAAUCGUGACGGGAAACGGGGUGCUUCUGGGGACUCGGGGUAUAAAACUUAGAAGUUAAGGAAGUACUGGUGUUGAAAUUGGCAGUAGAGAAUGCUAAUGUUUGCUAUCAACAUGUUAUUUGCGAGUUUUACAGUGCAUAUUAUGUGCUGCUGUUUAUUGCCUCUCUGAAAGUCAAGCAGCUUGUCAGGAAUGUGAGUUAAUUGUUUCACUGGUUGUUGUUAGAAUUGUUUCUUUGUGGUAUAAGUGCACCGUAAAACUUUCUCUCCACUUUUCCCACUCACGCUGCAAGCAGCCCUGUGCUUUUCCGUGGGGUCAGAAAUUACUGUUUUCAGUCGUGUUCAUAAAAAAUCGGUAUUGGGAGGUGUUUCAAAACAUAGGGAAGCACUUGGAAAUAUGAGGAAAGAAGAUCUUGUAAAAUAUUGUAAUUAAUGGUGGCUGCUGUAUAAGUUAAAUGAUUGGGAAAAGUGUCCGGGGAAUAGAAUCUUGAAGUAUAACACCUUGUUGCAAUUAAUGUUGUUUUUAGGGCGAGAAGAGUAAGACAAAAUAAAUCCCUACAAGAGAUCAUUAAAUCAUUUCAGACAGCUGAGAGAGAGUUAACUGAUAACACACAGGUCACAGUAAACUUGCCGAAGUCUGCACAAUGUUUUCCUUAUUAGCCUGUUUUCUUUGUGGGUAUCUGUUUAAGCACGUUGCAAUUUUGGUAGGUCUUUGUUAUAUGGUACAGUAGGUUCACAGAGAUUCAUGAAAAUCGGUUGACUCAAAAGGUGCGUUUUGUGAUAGUACAAAAGAUCAUGAGUAAUUUAGUUCCUUACUGCGUGAACGUGAUGUUAAAAUUUUAUGUGUAGUAGCUGUUAUAUUUUUUUUUCUAGCGUACUAGCUUUAUUCCAAUAUCCAGACUUGCGCAACUCUGUGACAGGCUGUCUCUCAUCUCGGUGCACUAAAUUUGGCCUUUUUGUAUGCACAUCAAGUGAAGAAUCAUGGUUUUAGAAUAACAGUUGUAGCGCACCAGAUGAGACACUAUAAAAAAAAAAAAAAAAAAAAAAAAGGCCUUGCCCAGUCCAGCUUGCUGCGGGGGGGGGCGGAUGCCAAAUGGGCCUCCAGCGCGCACUGACCCAUUUUGUCAGGGAGACCCAGAGGUAUCUCCACCUGGCUGAGCAGUAAGCGGUUCAAGGUGCAAUGCAAAAAAUUGAGAUAUUGUCUUAAAUUGGUGUAAGUGUGAUCCAUCUGCUUAUUUGAACUUGGUAUAUGGUUUUCAUAUCUGAGCUCAGUAUUUUAGUUUGUAUAUUCAUAUUCGGUACCAAAAGAAUCUUGUUUGGGGAGAUAAUUACAAAAUGGGAACCAGUUCCACUGCUAAAAUUCCACCUUGCUCCCCCUUAGGAUGCAUCCUUACACAUUAAAGUAAUCGCUUAUAUUGUUAGAAAAGCAUUUAAAUUGUUAAAAUACUAUGAUAGAUGUGAACUUGGGGUAUUGUAUGAAGUUAUGAAGUUGUAUUUAAAGGUUGCUGGAAUGUGAACUGAUUUGGAUCUAGGAAAAUAGAAUAAUGGAUUUAUGUUUAUUAUACUGGUUUAUACUCUAAAUUGUAAAAGGUAAAUGAAGCUAAGGAAUGUGACUAUUGCUGAGCUACUUGAAAUUGCAUAUAAAGUGUAUUAUGGCUGGAAUGAAAUGGGAAAACAAAAGAGCAAAAUAUCCCAGGCCUGUGUGCAGCUCAUUGUAACUGAGAAGUUUCCCAGAGCCUCCUACUUCGUACCAGCCAGUAUGCCAGCUGCGUGACCCUGGUUAUAUCUACACUGCACAGAAAGAAAAAACAACUGGAAAAACCUGGCUGCCCGCUUUUAAAGCAGUGAAAGGGGGGGUUCUCUCUCCCCCCACUGCAGCGAUGUAAUAGAAUGGAGCCGUCCGAGGGUGAAGUUUAAAGGCAUCCUGAGCAGACCCGUAGUUCUAAUGAAACUGGACAAUUAAACCAAAAAUUUGUUGGUAGACUUAUCCUAUGGUAAUUAAUUGUACGAGACUUCUUAGUAAAUUCACCAUGCUAGUUUUUGAGGGCAUGGGAGACAACGAAAGAAAGGCCAUUUUUUGAGACAAAUGGAAUGCCAGAUUUGGAACAAAGUUUUAAUACAUGAAUUCUUGUAUUUGCCCAAAAGUCCUAUACCUCUCUUGGGUCAGGAUUUGUUAAGUAAAUUGUAAGCUCAAAUAACGUUUUCUGAGAAUUCUGUUUAGUUGCAUAUCCUACAAGAAGGUGCUUGGAUGGUGCAGAUCUGCUUGUGCAAGUGAGAAAUCUUCAAGGAACUUAGCAGCCAAUGUUUUUGAUAAAGCAAAUACUACACUGAGAAAUCUGAAACAGGACUUCAAUCCGGUAAGGGAAAACAAUAUCCAAUAAAUAUGACAGCCGAAAUGGAGUUAGAAACUUUGAGGGAUGAAUUUAUGACAACUUUACAGGAUGACUGCAUUUGAUUGGACUUACAGAUUUGUCUAUGAAACAACCUGUGGCUAUUGUGGGACAGUAUGAUGAGAAUGCUAACAGACUAAUAUACCAAUUGUCACUCUGAUCAAGAAAAUGCAGGGAAUGAAUUUAAGGCCAUGAUCCUUUUGUCAUAUAUGUACUAUUUGCGAAAUUUAAGGAGCCUCUGAAUUUGAUUUGCGAUUUUGAGUACGUAGUCAAGAUCCAACGCACGUAUCUGAUUCUGAACUGUGUUUUUGUUUUGUUUUGUUUGUUUUGUUUUGUUUUGUUUUUUAAACAAAAAGGGGAAUUGUCAAAAGGAUUGUAUGUGAUGAAUCACUUGUAUCUAAGUGGUACAGCCUAAAUUUGCCCUGUGAUGAAACACUUUGUAACUAUGACCCAAAACCAUGCUAAAUCAGAAAGAACCUGCAUUAGUUAUGGUCAAAUCACUAGUUAACGUUCAAUGGAAAAGGCCACACCAAUUGAUAACCUGGGGGAGAGGUUAUGCUUAUGUUUUUACAGAUCAAGAGCUGCAAUGGUUGCCAGCACGAAACGUGAAACCUGUGUUAUCUUCCUGACAAUGAUUGUUGCAGCUGCUGUGUUUUGGAUGCCUGCACAGACAAAGACUAACAUGUGGAUUACUUUAGCCAACAUGACUGACCAUCUAUAUGCCUAACUACGAUGUCUCUGGAAAAAACGUUCCACACAUGCUUGGUUGGUGUCUUCCUUGAUGACUACAGCAGCAUCACACGACUGUUUCAAAUAGUGGUUGAUGCAGAGGCAUUGCAACGAACUGUAAUAAUACUAACACGGCACUUUGGAUUAAUUGCCACCUGGAAGCAGACAUCGAACCACAGGAACUGGAAUUGAUGGCAUCUAUGCCCAUGGAUGCUUGUAUUCAGCCGGUUUGUGAAAAGUGUCAGAACAGUAUACAAGAACAUGAAUGGACAAAACUACAAAAUGUUAAUGCUACUCUUGGUGACUACAGAAAUGAAACUCGACGGUGUAAUGCUUCACAGAAGAAUGCAAGGGAUGUCAUUGACAGCAACCCUAAAACCUCCUGUAUGGUGUAUUCUUGAUCUGUGAAGAUAGAGCCUGACCAGGAAUUCCUUCUAACGCUGUUGGAGGACUGUGUAUUUUGGGACUACUAACUCUCUUAACGUCCAAUGUAUCUAUGAUAAUAGAUCACAAAAGAGCAAGACGAGAAAAACACUUUUAUGGAUUUACAGAAUAAGUCGAGAUCCAUCCACGAGGAGAUUAAACAACUUACGGACCAUUCACAGAAGAUCAGAGAGGAUGUGGGCCUCUUUGGCUUAGACGGCCUCAUGAACUGGUUUGGACUAGGAGGAUGGGUAAAAGGGCUUUUGCAGAGUGCUCUGGCUCUCUUAAUCAUAGUAGUAGUUGCAUUAAUAUGCUUGAGUUGUGCUAUAUCAUGUAUUAAGAAGAUUUUAGAGCAGACACUUGGGCAGCCUCUGCUCAUUAAAAAAAAGAAAAAGGGGGAGAUGUCGGGGAUUGGCUCAAGGAGCACAGACAUGAGUCCACCGAGCAACUGUACGAGCAGAGCCCAUUUUAGUUGACAUAAGUAGGCCUUAGUUAGCUUGUCUAUUAGGCCGUGGGAAAGGGGGGAACGGAAAAGUACUAACUAAGGCAGGGUCAGGAUAUUUUUGAAGAGAUAAGAGUCAGAAGAAUGUGGGAUGCGCAUAGCUAGCUAAACCCAAGUAGGUGGAGUAAGUAAAUGUGCUUAGCCUAUUAAAUAGAGACAAGUAUGCAUAAUUAUGGUAUUUGGUAUAAAUGCACGCUAUCUCGGGCAAUAAAGUUGAAGUAUGCUUUAUCACUCA